RNAcentral lists this ribosomal RNA (305 nucleotides) under uncultured bacterium. RNAcentral's name for it is "partial 16S ribosomal RNA". It matches the Rfam family "Bacterial small subunit ribosomal RNA", at positions 505 to 807 of the family's 1533-position model. The record is from RNAcentral.
ACAGCAGCAGCCGCGGUAAAACGAAGGGGGCUAGCGUUGUUCGGAAUUAUUGGGCGUAAAGGGUGCGUAGGCGGCUUGACAAGUCUUGUGUGAAAUCUAUGGGCUCAACCCAUAGUCUGCACGGGAAACUGUCGGGCUUGAGAAUGGGAGAGGUGAGUGGAAUUUCCGGUGUAGCGGUGAAAUGCGUAGAUAUCGGAAGGAACACCUGUGGCGAAAGCGGCUCACUGGACCAUUUCUGACGCUGAUGCACGAAAGCUAGGGGAGCAAACAGGAUUAGAUACCCCGGUAGUCCCUGUCUCUUAUAC